GAUGAACGCUAGCGACAGGCUUAACACAUGCAAGUCGAGGGGCAGCGAGGUGGUAGCAAUACCGCUGUCGGCGACCGGCGCACUGGUGAGUAACACGUAUACGACCUGCCCCCUACAGGGGUAUAACCCGUAGAAAUGCGGACUAAUCCCCCAUAGUCCCGCGGGCUGCAUGGCCUGCGGGGGAAAGGGUUUCCGGUAGGGGAUGGGCAUGCGGCGCAUUAGCUAGUUGGCGGGGCAACGGCCCACCAAGGCGACGAUCAGUAGGGGUUCUGAGAGGAAGGUCCCCCANAUUGGAACUGAGACACGGUCCAAACUCCUACGGGAGGCAGCAGUGAGGAAUAUUGGUCAAUGGGCAGAGCCUGAACCAGCCAAGUAGCGUGCAGGACGACGGCCCUAUGGGUUGUAAACCUGGCCUUUUUAUAAGGGGAUAAAGUGAGUCUCGUGAGACUUAUUGCAUGUACCUUAUGAAU
This 470-nucleotide ribosomal RNA is filed under the name uncultured bacterium. Its description in RNAcentral is "bacterial SSU rRNA". It matches the Rfam family "Bacterial small subunit ribosomal RNA", at positions 28 to 487 of the family's 1533-position model. The record is from RNAcentral.